AACGUAGGAGGCAAGCGUUAUCCGGAGUUACUGGGCGUAAAGCGUAUGUAGGCGGUUGGGCAAGUGGCGUGUGAAAGCUCCCGGCUAAACUGGGAGACGACAGGUCAGACUGCUCGACUCGAGUCCGAUAGAGGAGCGUAGAAUUCCGGGUGUAGCGGUGAAAUGUGUAGAGAUCCGGAGGAAUACCAGUGGCGCAAGCGGCGCUCUGGGUCGGGACUGACGCUGAGAUACGAAAGCGUGGGGAGCGAACGGG
RNAcentral lists this ribosomal RNA (253 nucleotides) under uncultured bacterium. Its description in RNAcentral is "partial 16S ribosomal RNA". It matches the Rfam family "Bacterial small subunit ribosomal RNA", at positions 524 to 776 of the family's 1533-position model. The record is from RNAcentral.